This 1096-nucleotide small RNA is filed under the name Rattus norvegicus (Norway rat). RNAcentral's name for it is "uncharacterized LOC108350678". The record is from RNAcentral. Lineage: Eukaryota; Metazoa; Chordata; Mammalia; Rodentia; Muridae.
CAUAGGAUGGCCCUUGAGUAUCUUCAUUCAAAGUGACAAGGGUCAGCAUUCUUAUAUGCCUAGAGAAGUUGUAUCAGUUCUAAUUAUGACAACUGGUUCAUUUCGGAAGUACUAGAGGGAAAAGCAUCCGUCACAGCAGGGAGGCAUGGUUGACAGUGGCAGGCCCUGAAGACAAGAGCUGAAAGUUAAGAGAUCCUAUCUCCAGCUGCAAGAAGGGAGCAAGAGAAGAAACUAGAAGUAGGCCAAGACUAUACACUUUCAAAGCCUGCCCCAAUGAUGCACUUCCUCCAGAAAGGCUGUUCCCGCCCCCAACCCCCAGUUUUUUCUGAUAGACCACCCAUUGAAAAACAAGAGUCCAAAUAUCUGAGCCUAUGAGGGGCGUUUCUUAUUUAAACCAGCACAUCUACACUUACUGUAGUUAGAAUGCGAAGACCCUUACAUGUCUUCCUUUCAAAGGGUCGAAAUGCUCUUGUUACUAAUGAGACUUACUAUUCUGAAGUUGUUUUUAUCAUGAUUGGAUGGCUAGAGGAAGUCUUUUAUCUUACAGAGGAUCAGGCGAACGUACCCGUACCUUUCUCAGCUCACUCAUUUUUAGGAGAUCGACCACUGUGGUUCUAUAUUGAAGCCACAUGGUGGUCUCACAGAGUAAGUCUGAGAAGCACUAGGCAGGCAGUUUUCAAACUGUACUCAAAAGAUCAGUGAACAGCUAGAGUUCGUCUUUGAAGAUAAUGGAAAAAGGGCACCCAGAGUAAGCUUAUGAUUUGGUGCUAUAUUUAUGCAACUGGUUUCUUCAUGUAUUUCCUGCCAUCUUCAAGUGGUUCACUUGGAUUUCUGUAUUGUUUUCACUUUGGAUCUCUAAAUACAGUUAUAUGGGCCCACCAACCAACUCAAUAGGUUGUGAUUGUAUUUAUGUAAUAAUAAUUAUAGAAAAGAAGGUCAUGAAUUAGAGAUAAAGUAUAAGGGAACGUGAAAGAAAUUGGACGGGGAUGGCUAAGGUAUGUGUGUUAUGCAUGCACAAUACUCAUGCAGGAAACUCUCAGAAAACAUAAAGAAAAAUGGUCAGUGUAUGUGUAAAACUGCUCUGUCUCACUAAUAA